ACUCUAGAACCUAGGGAGCAGCAGCAGUUCACGACCCAUCUGACUCCCAUUUUCUUCCUGAUAUAAACGACAAUCAACAGAACCAUAAAAAGGGGCUUCAGUCGUAUAACUUAAAAACAGACCCCUCCAAAAAAAUUUGACCUUCUUCUUCAUCCCCAUAAUACAAGAUCUGAUGGAUGGCUAACUUAGGGACCUAAGAGCUGAAGAAAACCAGCGGUUGAAUAGCCAAAAUGAGAAUCCCCCAUCAGGUAUCAUCUUCCUCUUCAGCCAUUAGAGACAUCAAACAAAAAGUCACCGUCGCUGGACCUCCAUUCACUGUGAAGCUGCCAUCCCCAGUGAAGCUUCACCUCACAAACGACCACCCUACAAACACCAGGUCGUCGCCUCUGUUUCUCCAUCCCAGAAAACCCGCCUGAACUCUUUCUGCUUCUUCAAAGCUUCACAAGAUUUUGAUCCCUCUUUUUUAAGCUCUGUAAGUUGUUGUCAUCAAAGUUUCCGGCGAGUUCCGAGUUUUCUGAUUGAGUAUCGACGAUCGUUUCUACUGGUUUUUGGUCGAAGCCCGUUCGAGGUUUGUCGUGUCGAAGUCUCCAUUGCUGGCUCUGUCGCCAGGCUGUUGUGGAUCUACUUACCGGAGUUUGAGCAUGACAGAUACCCCAGGAUCAUUGCAUUCAGGAGCUGCUCGAGGAGCCAUUUUAUGUUUUUGAGUCAAUUGGUCAUGUUUUACUUUCUAGUCCUAUAUAGUAGUAUUCAGUCUUUUAGGUGAUGUUAGAGUUUGUAAUAGUCAGGUUAAGUUUGCCUAGUCUUUUGUUAUUGUAUUUCUUAUUUUGUGUUAUUAAUCAAAAAUCCCAAAAAAGAGAUUUUGCGUUU
This is a long non-coding RNA of Nicotiana tabacum (common tobacco), 867 nucleotides long. RefSeq lists it as uncharacterized. The record is from RefSeq and is a predicted model, not a curated record. NCBI's taxonomy places the organism in Eukaryota, Viridiplantae, Streptophyta, Magnoliopsida, Solanales, Solanaceae.